GAGUUUGAUCGUGGCUCAGGACGAACGCUGGCGGCGUGCCUAAUACAUGCAAGUCGAGCGAGUCUCUUCGGAGGCUAGCGGCGGACGGGUGAGUAACACGUAGGCAACCUGCCUCUCAGACCGGGAUAACAUAGGGGAAACUUAUGCUAAUACCGGAUAGGUUUUUGGAUUGCAUGAUCCGAAAGAAAGAUGGCUUUCGCUAUCACUGGGAGAUGGGCCUGCGGCGGCAUUAGCUAGUUGGUGGGGUACGGCCUACCAAGGCGACGAUGCGUAGCCGACCUGAGAGGGUGACCGGCCGACACUGGGACUGAGACACGGCCCAGACUCCUACGGGAGGCAGCAGUAGGGAAUUUUCC
RNAcentral lists this ribosomal RNA (356 nucleotides) under uncultured microorganism. RNAcentral's name for it is "bacterial SSU rRNA". It matches the Rfam family "Bacterial small subunit ribosomal RNA", at positions 9 to 367 of the family's 1533-position model. The record is from RNAcentral.